GAUCCUGGCUCAGAUUGAACGCUGGCGGCAGGCCUAACACAUGCAAGUCGAACGGUAGCACAGAGGAGCUUGCUCCUUGGGUGACGAGUGGCGGACGGGUGAGUAAUGUCUGGGAAACUGCCCGAUGGAGGGGGAUAACUACUGGAAACGGUAGCUAAUACCGCAUAACGUCGCAAGACCAAAGAGGGGGGACCUUCGGGCCGUCUUGCCAUCGGAUGUGCCCAGAUGGGAUUAGCUAGUAGGUGGGG
This 248-nucleotide ribosomal RNA is filed under the name uncultured bacterium. RNAcentral's name for it is "partial 16S ribosomal RNA". It matches the Rfam family "Bacterial small subunit ribosomal RNA", at positions 15 to 257 of the family's 1533-position model. The record is from RNAcentral.